AGCCGGCUCGGCCGCUCGCCCGCCCAGCGCGCGGAUCCGCCCCCGAGCGCACCACGUGGGCCGCGGGGGACGAGCGUCUGAAGCCACCUGGGCUGGGGUUCGGCCGGCUCCUCUUGCUUGGUCACAUUCCUAUCUUUGUGGGGUUUUGGACCAAGACCUACGUAAACGGAGGUCCGGUGUUGACCUACGGCCCGUGAUGCAAUUCACAGCAGAGAGGAAGAAAGAACAUGCCAGAUAACACACUGUCUCUUAAAGUUUUCACCUAGAAGUGAUUUUAAAACAUAUGUCAUUGGCCAAAGCACAAUCACAAGGCCACACCUAAUUUGAAGGCGAUCAAGACAGUACCUGGAAGAUGGUAUCAGAAAUAUUGGUUGAAAAACACCGAUGACUACCAUACAUGUGAUAAGUCCUAUAACCACCUCCACCCCCAAACACCCUGAGGAAUGAUGACUUCUCUGAGAUGGGGUCCUAUGUAUGGCUUCUUCAGAGUCUUCCCAGUUGUCCAGUAAGAAGAUCAAGAUGAACACUCUGAAACCCUGACUUAUCUGCCUCACUCUAUGUAGUUGUAGCCAGGGACCACUAAAAUAGCAAAGCUGAAUGUGAGGCUAUCCAUGUUCAUGAAUCCCUUUAUUCAUAGGCUGAGUAUUGUCAAACGUAAACAUUCAGGAAAGAAUAAAGACUCAGUAAGAACACUGUGGAAUUGCUGGGUGGUGUAAAUGGUUAAUGUGCUCUGCUGCUAACUGAAAAGUUAGAGGUUUGAGACUACUUGGAAGUGCCUUGGAAGAAAUGCCUAGCAAUCUACCUCCAAAAAAAUUAGCCAUUGAAAACCCUUCGGAGCACAGUUGUACUCUGACAUGUAUGGGGUUGUCAUAAGUUGGAAUCAACUUGAUAUUAACAGCAAUUGGUGCUGUCUGAAAGCAGUGAAUUGAAGAUGUGCUCAUCACUGGAGGGGAUGCCGCAGAAGCUCUCAGUGAUGCUAAAGGGGAUGAACUAUGACCAAGCGGAAACAUUACUCCUUUACACAAAGGAGCAUGGUUGACUUCAAAGGCUAUCUCCAGACUAGCCGGGAGAGUACGUAAGUUUCAAUCAGCCAACUCUUUGGUCAAAGAGCAGUUCCCAUCCCAACAACACUUGGCUGUUUUGCCUGAAAUGGAGUGGAUGGGUAGUGACAUUUUUGACAUUUUCCCUGUCUUUCCCCACUGAUGUUCUAGGGGUCAGCACUGCUCAUGAUGGUUCCUGCUCACAACUGGGCUGGGUCAAGGAUAAAUGAAUGGAGCAUACGUUAUCUGUGCCUUCUUACCCAUUUAUAAAUCAACCCAAAUUAAAAUAAAAAACUCGAUAAAGGUGUGAUGAAACCAAUACCCUAAUCCAAUGCUAAUGGUAUUGCUAUGGUCAAUUUAGAAAUAAAUUUGCAGUAUAUAUCAAAUAAUAUAAAAAGUUAUUUAACCCCACUUCUUACCAAUUAUUCUGAGGAAAUAUGUGCUGAGAGA
Long non-coding RNA from Loxodonta africana (African savanna elephant), 1490 nucleotides. RefSeq lists it as uncharacterized. Lineage: Eukaryota; Metazoa; Chordata; Mammalia; Proboscidea; Elephantidae. The transcript is spliced from 4 exons. The record is from RefSeq and is a predicted model, not a curated record.